This is a long non-coding RNA of Pollicipes pollicipes, 317 nucleotides long. RefSeq lists it as uncharacterized. NCBI's taxonomy places the organism in Eukaryota, Metazoa, Arthropoda, Thecostraca, Pollicipedomorpha, Pollicipedidae. The transcript is spliced from 3 exons. The record is from RefSeq and is a predicted model, not a curated record.
CCAAGAACGGGGCUCAGACCACUCGCUGGUACUCCGGAGCCCCUGCAGUCACGUUCGGACAGUGCCCGUAUUGUCCGAGGUGGUUAAGAAGAUGGGUAAGUUGAAGAGCUGCACCAAGAAUUACCCAAAUUGUGUGGUGACAGAGGUCAACAGGUUCCUCCGUUCACGGGCUCCGUCGUGGCCGGCUUCGUCGUCGUGCUUACAGAUCCGGCGCGAUGUCGUCAAUAACAGCACCGUGUCACCAGCUUCGACGUAGUUUCACCGUCUUCGGCGCGUCACCUUCGUGGUAUCACGAUUAAGGGCUGCGUAAACACUGC